RNAcentral lists this long non-coding RNA (1664 nucleotides) under Nicotiana tabacum (common tobacco). RNAcentral describes it as "long non-coding RNA (NTAB_LNC008030)". The record is from RNAcentral. Lineage: Eukaryota; Viridiplantae; Streptophyta; Magnoliopsida; Solanales; Solanaceae.
UUCAAUCAGAAAACCAACUUUAGAAAAAUUGGUUUUGUCCACCGCCUAAGCCGUAAGUGUCGGCAAUCAUCUCAUUUUCGUUUCUUUCCUUUUUCUUUGGUAGGUGAGGUAUGGACCCCACGUCCCAAACAUAUCUAUGUAGACUUCCUUAUGUAUAUAAGUAUCCCUACACAUAAACCCAAAUCAUUAUUAGAUUCUGAGACUGUGUGUUUAUUGUGGUAAUUUACAGAAAGUGGAGAAAUUCCCCAAGAAAAGAAAAAAGAAAAGCUUGAAGCUUUAUUGGAUUCUUUGGUUGAUCACAAAAAUAAUGGAGCUUUGAUUGGAGAUAAAAAGUAUGAGAACUGUUGUGGCUAGAUUGUCUUGUUUUCAAUGCCCUUUCCUUUAUUCACCUAAUGGUGAAAUGUGUGAUUCCUUCUCCCAGUUUCAAUUUCUCCUUUUCUUUGCUUAUUAAUUAUUUUUUUGAAUAUGAUGAGUCCGUCAUUCUCUUAGGUUAUUUCUGGUUGAUUCUGAUAUUGCAAAUAGGCUGAUCAAGAUACAUAAUUCAUUCUGAUUGAACAAAGACAAAGUGGUAUACUGUAUAUAGAGGUGUUUUUGUUUCCCCCUAUUUUCUAUGUGACUUAGUAAAAGGAAAAACAAGAACCAUUUUUUAGUUGAUGGUCAUGGCAUGAAGGAUAGAAUUUAAGUUUGUAAAUGGAUGUAGAUAAUAUGGGAAUUUUACCACUGCUUUAAUUUCUUCACUUUUUGGUUUAAAGGAUGGUGACCAAACUAAAUGAUGUCUCUUUAUUGGGACUAAGGGAUUAUAAUUGCAAUAAUUUAUUUCUUUUUAAAAAAAGCUCAUGGUUUUGUGUUUACUAUAGUGGGGUGUUGGGAUGCAACAGAAACUGUGUUAGUUGACUGCAAUUUAUGGUAAUAACAGAAAACAAAUUCAGUUGAUCUGCCCCUACUGAAAGAAAGAUAAAAAAGCAAGGGAAAGAAAGGAAAGGAAUACUUCGCCUGCAAGGUAGUAACUUUAUUGCAGGGAGACAUUAAUAUGAUUGAUUUUCUUGAUCUGAAUCCUCUUAUCCUUAUGUUUUUGUUCUCAUGGUCCUUGUAGUUCUAGCUAUUUCCUUGUCAAAUGAGCUUAGUUCGUUGUUGUUGGUGUUGGUGUUGUGGAGGCGCAUAAUAAGGUAUAUCUAGAGCUAUUUAUUGUUGAUAGCAGAAGUAUUUCACUUCUCUUUGCCGUUGCAAUCAGUCCAGUGGGAAAAGUUUUGGAAUUUCGCAUGUUACACAUGCAGGUUCUGAUAAGCCCACCACUGGAGUCAUAGACAGAAGAAAAAUAAGUAUUUACGUAACAUUUGUUGAUGCUGCAAAGAUUUCUUGAAGCAUAAGACUCCCUGAUGUCAUUAGCCAAUAAACAGAUUCAAGGCAAAUGUUGUAAGCAGUUGGCUUGAGUUGUGUUUAAACAUAUGAAAGUGGUUUUUGCCGUGUUAGGUGAAUUUAUUAUUUAUGUGAAUCUAAGUUUUUAACAGGCUGGUUUGUAUUUGACUAACCUUCAAAUAAGAAGUAUGCCAAAUUACCCAUGAAGUAAGGCACAAUUAUCAAAUUACCCUUCGUUAUGCAAUCAAAAGCAACUCUUCUUUCUUAUAUACUCUUCUGCUUCUACUUCUCUCAAUUUUUCUCUUUUU